GCAGGUAGUCCCUUGGCCACAAGACACAUAGGGGUCUGAUGCCUUGGCUGUUGACUGCUGCUAAAGUGUGCAGCAUGCUGUGGCCACCACAGCAUAGAAAGCACAAGCUGCUCUGAUUACAGGGCUCUAUCCCAGCACUUUGGGAGGCCAAGGCAGGCGGAUCACCCGAGGUCAGGAGUUUGAGACCAGCCUGACCAACAUGGAGAAACCCCGUCUCUACUAAAAAUACAAAGUUAGCUGGGGGUGGUGGUACAUGCCUGUAAUCCCAGCUACUUGGGAGGCUGA
Molecule: long non-coding RNA, 285 nt
Filed under: Pan troglodytes (chimpanzee)
Lineage: Eukaryota; Metazoa; Chordata; Mammalia; Primates; Hominidae
Description: long non-coding RNA NONPTRT006825
Source: RNAcentral